RNAcentral lists this ribosomal RNA (253 nucleotides) under uncultured bacterium. RNAcentral's name for it is "partial 16S ribosomal RNA". It matches the Rfam family "Bacterial small subunit ribosomal RNA", at positions 524 to 776 of the family's 1533-position model. The record is from RNAcentral.
UACGGGGGGAGCAAGCGUUGUUCGGAUUUACUGGGCGUAAAGGGCGCGUAGGCGGCAAAUUAAGUCAGCUGUGAAAUCUCCGAGCUUAACUCGGAACUGUCAGCUGAUACUGAUCUGCUAGAGUGCGGAAGGGGCAGUCGGAAUUCUUGGUGUAGCGGUGAAAUGCGUAGAUAUCAAGAGGAACACCUGAGGUGAAGACGGGUUGCUGGGCUGACACUGACGCUGAGGCGCGAAAGCUAGGGUAGCAAACGGG